Molecule: ribosomal RNA, 847 nt
Filed under: uncultured bacterium
Lineage: Bacteria
Description: bacterial SSU rRNA
Rfam family: Bacterial small subunit ribosomal RNA
Source: RNAcentral
AGUCGAGGGGCAGCACAGGUAGCAAUACCGGGUGGCGACCGGCGCACGGGUGAGUAACGCGUAUGCAACUUACCUAUCAGAGGGGGAUAACCCGGCGAAAGUCGGACUAAUACCGCAUGAAGCAGGGGCCCCGCAUGGGGAUAUUUGCUAAAGAUUCAUCGCUGAUAGAUAGGCAUGCGUUCCAUUAGGCAGUUGGCGGGGUAACGGCCCACCAAACCGACGAUGGAUAGGGGUUCUGAGAGGAAGGUCCCCCACAUUGGUACUGAGACACGGACCAAACUCCUACGGGAGGCAGCAGUGAGGAAUAUUGGUCAAUGGGCGUAAGCCUGAACCAGCCAAGUCGCGUGAGGGAUGAAGGUUCUAUGGAUCGUAAACCUCUUUUAUAAGGGAAUAAAGUGCGGGACGUGUCCCGUUUUGUAUGUACCUUAUGAAUAAGGAUCGGCUAACUCCGUGCCAGCAGCCGCGGUAAUACGGAGGAUCCGAGCGUUAUCCGGAUUUAUUGGGUUUAAAGGGUGCGUAGGCGGCCUUUUAAGUCAGCGGUGAAAGUCUGUGGCUCAACCAUAGAAUUGCCGUUGAAACUGGGGGGCUUGAGUAUGUUUGAGGCAGGCGGAAUGCGUGGUGUAGCGGUGAAAUGCUUAGAUAUCACGCAGAACCCCGAUUGCGAAGGCAGCCUGCCAAGCCAUGACUGACGCUGAUGCACGAAAGCGUGGGGAUCAAACAGGAUUAGAUACCCUGGUAGUCCACGCAGUAAACGAUGAUCACUAGCUGUUUGCGAUACAGUGUAAGCGGCACAGCGAAAGCGUUAAGUGAUCCACCUGGGGAGUACGCCGGCAACGGUGAAACUCAA